AUAUCUGUAUUGAAAGUGAAAAGUGGAAGGAAUAGAUUUCCAAAUUCAACCACUGGUACUCAAAUUAAAUUAGCUAAGCUCGUUUAAAUACGACAUAUUUAGCGGCCAGCAGACUAAGCAAACAACAAACAUGUGCGGCGGUUUCACCUGCUCGAAGAACGCGCUAAUUGCGCUCAACAUUUUGUAUGUGAUGAUUGGAUUCCUGCUGAUUGGAGUGGGCGUGUACGCGCGUGCCGCCUCCAUCGUGACCAACCUGCCGAUUGUGGGCGGGAUCCUGGCCUGCGGCGUCAUCCUCAUCUGCAUAUCCAUGCUGGGACUGGCGGGAGCCGUCAAGCACCACCAAGUGAUGCUCUUCUUCUACAUGAUCAUUCUGUUCAUGCUGUUCCUGAUCCAGUUCUCCAUUGCCAGUUCCUGUUUGGCCGUCAAUUCCGAGCAGCAGCAGCAGUUCGCCGAGCAGGGAUGGAUGACAGUGCCCACGGAUAUGCGCAAGCAAGUGCAGGACAGCCUGAAAUGCUGCGGAUUCAACGCCACUGGACCGAGCACAACCUCCGUGGUGCCGCCGCCGGAUGAGCCCUCGUGCGAGCUGAUCAACCAGCAGUGCUGUGCCCACUCCACCGAGGCGGACUGUCGUUGCGAACCCUGCGGACCCCUGCUGGAGGACAAGAUCGACUACGCCUUCAAGCUGUGCGGUGGCCUGGGCAUCUUCUUCAGCUUCACUGAGUUUGUUGGCGUCUGGCUAACAGUUCGCUAUCGCAAUCAAAAGGAUCCGCGCGGCUUGCCCAGCGCCUUUCUCUAAAUUACACGCUAGGCGAGAACAAGAUAAACAUUUCCCAGAUACAGAAACAUCCAAAAGUUAUUUAGUGCAUGUAUCUCUGCUCUGUCUCUGCUAAAUGUUUUGGUGUUGCGAUGGAGGAUUUCAUGAGCUCUUGGGGCCCACAUACCAUAUAUAUACAAGCAUCCUUUAUAUUUAUACCAUCUACAGAUACAUAUAUACACAUAUAUAUUUAAUCACAUUGCCGCAGAACUAUGUACGUAAUGUGUUAGGUCGUAAUUGAUAUACAACUUUAGACAUAUAUACAUAUUAUAGAGAGAUAUAUAUAGAAGAGGAGAGAGCUACGCGUUUAACCCCUUUAAGAACCCGAAAGCAAGCAAUCAGCAAAGAAACAUAUUUCCUUUUACUCUCAACACACUUCCUUUAAAACUUCCCCCAAAAAAAAAACAUUGUACUUACACUUGACUGCCUGCUCUUUGACUAAGCAUAAAUCCAACAAGUGGCCAAGGGUCUUGGCCGUAUUUCUGGCGCGUCGCUACCGCAAUCAACACGACCCCUGCUAUCUGCCCGCCCGCGCCGUUUUUCCACACGAUUAUCUAUAUUGAACGGACUGAAAACUGAAAAGGGCUGAAAACCACAUCAUGGAAGUGAAACAUUUUAGUCAAAGGGACGAAGGCUGAAUUCUUAAUUUUACAAUCGCGUUUCCUAGCGAGAAUCGAAUGCAAACUCGAACAAGAGAUUACGCUCCGGAGGAGGAGAAAGCAUAGGAGAAGUAAUUAUUGUGCUCAACACUGCUGCUUCAUAAGAAAAACAUUAUUUUACCAUUCAAUCUGCUUUAAUUGCACAAAGUUAUUUAACUAUAAAACCUCCAUUGAGAUUAUGUUUAGAUGUAAUAUUGUAAUUUAAGUUCAUCUCCUCGAAACACCUUAGUUAGCUCUUAAUGCCUUUCUUUGCAACUCGCAACAAUCAUGAACGACUCGACGUGACUCGACUUUAAACUACUGUACCACUACGAGACAAACAUUUCAACAACCUGAUCUUACUGUAGAACUACAACCAAGUCAACAAUUGUAACUAGCAACGUAAUAAGUAUACAUCAACCUAUAUACAAAACGUAAUUGCAUUAUUGCCCUCAAGGCGUAUAAACAAUACUCUAAAUGUUAGUUGUGUGUUAAACUUUAAACUAGCGAGAAAAAGCCCACAAAAUAACAAAAAAAAAGAAAAGGGUAACCCUCUAAGCAUACAUGUCAACAAUUAUACAAGUCUAUAUGGAUAAGAGAACUGCUUCUUUGAAUUUUUCACUCCUUUUCCGCACUUGCUCGACUUUCUCUGCAGCUUUUCCUUCUUGACUUUCACCCCGCAAAAAGCCACCAAGAACAAAAACAAACACAUCACACCCAACACGCUUCUUCCUCUAAGCACACAUCACACUCACAAGGAAAUAGUUUUCCCUGCCGUUUCCUUUCCAGUUUCUUUUCGAGCGACAAAUAAACCAUUAGAUAAUAUUCUCUGUAUUCUGUGCUGUGAUUGAAGUAAAUAUGAUCUUUAAACAACAAAGGAAAAAAG
This is an RNA transcript of Drosophila subpulchrella, 2338 nucleotides long. It is a transcript of the gene named tetraspanin-13, with no coding region annotated. The transcript is spliced from 5 exons. The record is from RefSeq and is a predicted model, not a curated record. NCBI's taxonomy places the organism in Eukaryota, Metazoa, Arthropoda, Insecta, Diptera, Drosophilidae.